Molecule: ribosomal RNA, 469 nt
Filed under: uncultured bacterium
Lineage: Bacteria
Description: partial 16S ribosomal RNA
Rfam family: Bacterial small subunit ribosomal RNA
Source: RNAcentral
GACGAACGCUGGCGGCGUGCUUAACACAUGCAAGUCGAACGGAAAGGCCCUGCUUGCAGGGUGCUCGAGUGGCGAACGGGUGAGUAACACGUGGGUGAUCUGCCCCUUACUUUGGGAUAAGCCUGGGAAACUGGGUCUAAUACUGGAUAGGACCAUGCUGUAGGUGGUGUGGUGGAAAGAUUAGUUUCGGUAAGGGAUGAGCUCGCGGCCUAUCAGCUUGUUGGUGGGGUAAUGGCCUACCAAGGCGUCGACGGGUAGCCGGCCUGAGAGGGUGGACGGCCACAUUGAGACUGAGAUACGGCCCAGACUCCUACGGGAGGCAGCAGUGGGGAAUAUUGCACAAUGGGCGCAAGCCGGAUGCAGCGACGCCGCGUGGGGGAUGACGGCCUUCGGGUUGUAAACUCCUUUCAGCCAUGACGAAGCCCUUGUGGUGACGGUAGUGGUAGAAGAAGCACCGGCUAACUACGUG